RNAcentral lists this long non-coding RNA (419 nucleotides) under Equus caballus (horse). Its description in RNAcentral is "lncRNA (ENSECAG00000032683.3)". The record is from RNAcentral. Lineage: Eukaryota; Metazoa; Chordata; Mammalia; Perissodactyla; Equidae.
GUGGGAUGCUGCCUCAGCGUGGCUUGAUGGGCAGUGCCAUGUCCGCGCCCGGAUUCGAACCAACGAAACACUGGGCCGCCUGCAGCGGAGCGCGUGAACCUAACCACUGGGCCACGGGGCCAGCCCCAAAAUCUGCCCAUUUUUAAAUUUUCUGGGAAUGUGCAUGAAUAUGACAGCAAAACAGGUGCAAGAAAGUGGAAGAAGCCCCCAGGCAGGAGGAGGAGUCCUUGGCAAGCAUAUACUCCCUCCUAGAUGCCCACCCUUCUGAGAAGUCUACAUCCUUAAAAAUUCCUAUGCAAGGAUAGCGUUUUCCUGCGUCUCUGACUCAGGUCGAUCCUCAGGAGGCAUUAUGAUGUGGAGGACAUCAGCGGAUUUGAAGUCAUGUAGCCUUUCCGAAGAUCAGCUUUCUUCUAGAAAAU